AAGCUUCCUUUAACCCAACCCGGCUCUAGUCCGAAGACUAGAAUUCCUCAGCGAAUAGUCUAUUACGCCAAGUCAAUCCGAAGUUCGAUUGCGGAUGCUAAUGCAUUACGAACGAGCUAGACCCUAAAGGCCAGCAGCGCUCAGAAACCAAACACCUCUUCAAUCAUUAAGAAAGAGGAGGGUUGAAGUAUUCAUGACACUCAAACAGGCAUGCUCCACGGAAUACCAUGGAGCGCAAGGUGCGUUCAAAGAUUCGAUGAUUCACUGAAUUCUGCAAUUCACAUUACUUAUCGCAUUUCGCUGCGUUCUUCAUCGAUGCGAGAGCCAAGAGAUCCGUUGUUGAAAGUUUUAUUUUGUUAUAAAAUUUAAUACAUUCAUAGACUUUGUGUUUAUAAGUGAAUAGGAGUUCGCCCUCUUGCGAGAGUUACUAUCCCAAACAAAUG
RNAcentral lists this unclassified non-coding RNA (443 nucleotides) under Rhodotorula sp. FBCC2322. RNAcentral describes it as "sequence contains 18S rRNA gene, ITS1, 5.8S rRNA gene, ITS2 and 28S rRNA gene". The record is from RNAcentral. Lineage: Eukaryota; Fungi; Basidiomycota; Microbotryomycetes; Sporidiobolales; Sporidiobolaceae.